This 438-nucleotide ribosomal RNA is filed under the name uncultured bacterium. RNAcentral's name for it is "partial 16S ribosomal RNA". It matches the Rfam family "Bacterial small subunit ribosomal RNA", at positions 339 to 795 of the family's 1533-position model. The record is from RNAcentral.
CUACGGGCGGCUGCAGUGAGGAAUAUUGCACAAUGGGGGGAACCCUGAUGCAGCAACGCCGCGUGGAGGAUGACGCAUUUCGGUGUGUAAACUCCUUUUAUAUGUCAAGAAAAUGACGGUAGCAUAUGAAUAAGCACCCGCUAACUCCGUGCCAGCAGCCGCGGUAAUACGGAGGGUGCAAGCGUUACUCGGAAUCACUGGGCGUAAAGGACGCGUAGGCGGGUUGGAAAGUCAGGUGUGAAAUCCUACAGCUUAACUGUAGAACUGCACUUGAAACUUCUAAUCUAGAGUAUGGGAGGGGGAGAUGGAAUUAGUGGUGUAGGGGUAAAAUCCGUAGAUAUCACUAGGAAUACCUAAAGCGAAGGCGAUCUCCUGGAACAUUACUGACGCUAAGGCGUGAAAGCGUGGGGAGCAAACAGGAUUAGAUACCGUGUAGUC